This is a non-coding RNA of Lolium perenne, 3534 nucleotides long. The record is from RefSeq and is a predicted model, not a curated record. NCBI's taxonomy places the organism in Eukaryota, Viridiplantae, Streptophyta, Magnoliopsida, Poales, Poaceae.
CUAGAUCGAGACAGCUCCCUCCAAUCAUUCAUUUCCUUCCUCCUCCUCCAAUCCUCCCAAACAGGGCGCGGCCGACGUGAGCGAGGACGGAGCGAAGGUGCCGCCGCCAUGCUUCGGGAGAGCGGCCGCGGGGCGCUGCUGCGUGGAGCGCUGGGAGGAGACGGUCACCGCCGGCCGCGGGCAUCGCCAUGUGAAGAGUAGGUGGCCGGGGGCCGCGUCAGCCGCUGCCUCGGGUCCACGCCGCCGCCGCCGCUCCUCCAUGCCAUCGCCGACCACCCCCUGCGCCGCGUCGUGUCCUCGCCGUCGUCCGACAGCGCCAUGGAGUGUGUCUCCUCCAAGUCGAGUCCCCACCGCCGGCGCCCAGGGUGACGCGGAUCCGGGGCAGGAUGGGCAGGAUCUCGUCAUGCCGGUCCUCCUCCGCAUUGUUGCUGCGCUGCUCCCUCCUCCUCGUGGCCAUCUCCUCUACGCUGCCUCCGUCCCCAGCCUCCUCUACACGGCCUCAAUCCCCGGCGUUCUGCUACCUCUGCCCCACCUCCUCUCCAUGGCUUGGCGUUGAGACCCAUCAUGGACUAGCCUCCGCCCCCAUCUCUGCGUUGCUGCAGCAUGGGACGACUGCAGCGACGACAUCCCCCAUCUCUGCUCUCGUUUGUUCUUGACAAGAUUCAAUCUCGUUUUUAGUUAUUUCCAUCCAAUUUUGGAUAUAAUUAGGUUGUUAAACGCCAAUCCAGGGGAUGCCUUUGUACAUGAACCAGAUCUUGAAAAGCAUAUGGAGGUCAACUGCGCUGAAAUCAAAAUCCAAAAUCACGAGGUUGGAAUGCAGCUCAAUAAGGUGAUUGCAGAUCAUGAGGUUUCAAGGACAGCUGGUGUGAUAGUUAAUAAAUUGGGUUGAUGAUGAGGCUGUCAAGAACAAGCGACCGCCGCCAAAGAGGCUUUCCCUAGAGGUAUUGUGACUGCAUGUGUAUUUUUCAUAGUUGAUUGGUGCAACAAAUCUGAAAGUUUGGGAGUGGUUCUGAAAUUUGGGAGACGACUUAGAUUUUCUGUUGUAUGGGUCACUCAAUUGGGCAGAAGAGAUAUUAUUAGUCCCUCCGAUCCAUAAUAAUUUAUGGGGUUUUUGUUCAAAUUAGCUCAAGUUUGAACAAAACCCCCGACACUUAGUAUGUAUCGGAGGGAGUACUUUCUAUGUGGUUUUGGGAUUGGUUAUUGUGCUACAUGACACACGGUGGUCAUGUUAUAUGCUGGACAAUAUGUGCCUGCUAAAUGUUAGUUUUCAGCACCACCAGUGGCAUUUAUGUUUUCUACCAUGGAUAAUAUCUUAUGCACAUCCAGUUUAUUGGGAUGUUUUAAAGGGUAUUUCGACUCUUCUGUCCCUGUAAUUGCCACAGUAUGAUUGAGAAUGUGAGUCAACACAGUAUUUUUAGAUUUGAGUUCCAUGGUUAUUAUGGUACAGUGCUCACUGCUCACUGGUAUGGAAAUUUGCAAAUACAAUAUGUAUGUUACAUUUGCAUCUGCAAUCUCUAUUGUACCUUUGUAUACUCGAAAAUAUGAUAAAUAUAUGUGGUUCAGGUUCAGGUUCAUGUUUAUCUACUUUUGAAUUGGAAAGGAAAUUAGUAUAAAGUUAGGAAGAAGAAUGAUAAUACCAACUAAUGAGUUGGUAACUAGGGAUAUGUCAGAACAACCAAUAGGUUAAGGUUUAAUUACUGAAACUAAAAUUAUGACGGGUGGACUUUGAUUUUUUUAGUUACUCUAUUUUGAAAUAGUCAUGUACUCAUUUUACAUUUCAGCUUAUUUAAGUUAUGCUUCAUUGUGCCAUUAAGGUGAGAUUGGACCAACGUUACUGGUUCCAGGCAAGAGAUCAACAAUUUUUCAUGAGCUACUCUGUUUUGGAACACUCGUUUCACAUUUCAACUUAUUUGAAUUAUGCAUCCAUAAAAUAGAGAUGAACUAGAAAGUGCUUCUCUGUGCCAUUAAGGUUAAUGGUCCCGAGGCUGGACAUUCAACUUUUUUUGAGCCGUUGAGUCCAUGAUUUUAAUGGGUGCUAAUUCUGUUAUUUAUAUUGUCUAUGGAUAUGAGAAACUUAAUGUUUCGUACAGUUCUAUCACUUGCAAACAGAGAACCAGUAACAUGUGUUGUCUAUAAUUUGUUUCGCUUUGCCUCAACCUGUAUAUGUUCGUAAGCAUCCAUGGUGGUACUUCUUACUCUUCCUAAGGUUAUUUUGGUUAUAAGUAAAUGAAAUAUAUUAGCAAAUUAGUUCCUCAAAAAAUAUGUUAUAGCAAACUAUCGACCUUAUAUCUGCAUUAUGCAUCUAUGAUUUGUAUAUCUGUUAAUUUGUGCUCGAAGGAGACUGGGAGGUGUUUCACUAUUAUGAAAUCGGGGUGAUUGGCGCAUUCAUCUUCUACUUCUUCAAGUACAAGAGGCUGAUGCCCCUGAAGAGUAUAAGCUCUUAGUAGGACGGAUUCAACCUUCUAUUUGCCUGUUAAGCUUGCAGUUCACUAUCCGGGCCAAAAUGAAGUUGCAAUUCACUGGCUUAGUCCUUCUCAUGAGGUCCCCACCGAUCUAAUUGGAUCACGAUUGGAUUCUGAGUUCUGCUCGCUCCAUCAAGAAGGAAGAAACCACGCUGGACAACCUGCUUGCAUUGGUCAUCAUGCUUGGCAUUCAGGCUCACACAGUUGUGGACGCGCACGCGUCAGUAACAACCUGUCGCCACUGAAAUGAAUCAAUCUGCUUCUUUCCUGUAACCCUUGCCGGCGUGCACAACUAAGAAAUACAGUUGGAUUCAAAGGACGUGAUCUGUGCCUACCGAGAAGACAUGUUUAUGAACAGUUUGCUGAUGUCCUAUUCUGUAAUAGGAUGAUUUGUGCAGAUUAAGAAAGCAUUCCUAUAUGGCAUCUCUUUGCCUAAUAGACACUGCUAUAGUCAAAACAAUUGUUGCCUAACCAAAUUUCACCGGUGAAGGUCUUCAUACUGUUGGAAUUAUAUAAGAUUUUUUCUAUUAAUGUAUAUUUAUCAUGUGUUCUAAUUUUAUUCUCUUAAUGUAUAUGAAUUACUGUUGCUUUGCAUCAAAGCUUUCAUAAAACUAUGCAUAUGAAUUGUUAUUAUAUACAUCUCUAAAAAAAUCCCGCCGCAAGGCUAGGAUGGUUUUCUAAUUAGCUAUCCCUGCCAUAUGAUGCUCUUAUGUAUUAUAUGAUUAAGGAGAAUUUUCCAGGAUGUAGCAUAGAUGAUAAACUUAUGGCGUCAUCUGCAAUAUAGUGUGUGAUGAUUGUUUGGUUUAGCUUAAUCAUUUCCAUGCUGUCAAGCUUUGGCUUUUGGCUGAUGAUAAAUAUUACUAUGAUGCAGGCAGUACCUGGAAGUAUUCUGGCAGCUGUGAAUCGAGUGCGAGGUCUUCCUUAGGUUGUUCUCUGUAGGGCCUUAUCUUCGUGUAUGGUUCCUAUUACGAGCUUAACUCGCUGGCACCAGCUGAAGAGCUUAUCCGUCCAAGAGACCAGGAGUGGAUGCGUUUUGGGAUCAUCCUGGUUGUGUAUUCUGAUCGGUUGAAUA